This 742-nucleotide ribosomal RNA is filed under the name uncultured bacterium. RNAcentral describes it as "bacterial SSU rRNA". It matches the Rfam family "Bacterial small subunit ribosomal RNA", at positions 8 to 796 of the family's 1533-position model. The record is from RNAcentral.
AGAGUUUGAUCCUGGCUCAGAGCGAACGCUGGCGGCAGGCCUAACACAUGCAAGUCGAACGGGCCCUUCGGGGUCAGUGGCAGACGGGUGAGUAACGCGUGGGAACGUGCCCAUCGGUUCGGAAUAACCCAGGGAAACUUGGGCUAAUACCGGAUACGUCCUUUUUGGAGAAAGAUUUAUCGCCGAUGGAUCGGCCCGCGUCUGAUUAGCUAGUUGGUGGGGUAAUGGCCCACCAAGGCGACGAUCAGUAGCUGGUCUGAGAGGAUGAUCAGCCACACUGGGACUGAGACACGGCCCAGACUCCUACGGGAGGCAGCAGUGGGGAAUAUUGGACAAUGGGCGCAAGCCUGAUCCAGCCAUGCCGCGUGAGUGAUGAAGGCCCUAGGGUUGUAAAGCUCUUUCACCCACGACGAUAAUGACGGUAGUGGGAGAAGAAGCCCCGGCUACUUCGUGCCAGCAGCCGCGGUAAUACGAAGGGGGCUAGCGUUGCUCGGAAUCACUGGGCGUAAAGGGCGCGUAGGCGGACCUUUAAGUCAGGGGUGAAAGCCUGUGGCUCAACCACAGAAUUGCCUUUGAUACUGAGGGUCUCGAGACCGGAAGAGGUUGGUGGAACUGCGAGUGUAGAGGUGAAAUUCGUAGAUAUUCGCAAGAACACCAGUGGCGAAGGCGGCCAACUGGUCCGGUUCUGNNNNNNAGGCGCGAAAGCGUGGGGAGCAAACAGGAUUAGAUACCCUAGUAGUCC